Molecule: ribosomal RNA, 253 nt
Filed under: uncultured bacterium
Lineage: Bacteria
Description: partial 16S ribosomal RNA
Rfam family: Bacterial small subunit ribosomal RNA
Source: RNAcentral
UACGUAGGGGGCAAGCGUUGUCCGGAAUCAUUGGGCGUAAAGCGCGUGUAGGCGGCCAGGUAAGUCCGUUCUGAAAGCCCGGGGCUCAACCCCGGGAGGCGGAUGGAUACUGCUUGGCUCGAGUCCGGAAGAGGCGAGUGGAAUUCCCGGUGUAGCGGUGAAAUGCGCAGAUAUCGGAAGGAACACCAAUGGCGAAGGCAGCUCGCUGGGACGGUACUGACGCUGAGACGCGAAAGCGUGGGGAGCAAACAGG